GGGGAAUCUUCCGCAAUGGGCGAAAGCCUGACGGAGCAAGACCGCGUGAGGGAGGAAGGCUCUUGGGUUGUAAACCUCUUUUGUCAGGGAAGAACACAAUGACGGUACCUGAAGAAUCAGCAUCGGCUAACUCCGUGCCAGCAGCCGCGGUAAUACGGGGGAUGCAAGCGUUAUCCGGAAUUAUUGGGCGUAAAGCGUCCGCAGGUGGCUAAUCAAGUCUGCUGUCAAAGGUUGGGGCUUAACCCCAAAAAGGCAGUGGAAACUGAGGAGCUAGAGUGCAGUAGGGGUAGAGGGAAUUCCCGGUGUAGCGGUGAAAUGCGUAGAGAUCGGGAAGAACAUCGGUGGCGAAAGCGCUCUACUGGACUGCAACUGACACUCAGGGACGAAAGCUAGGGGAGCGAAUGGGAUUAGAUACCCCUG
RNAcentral lists this ribosomal RNA (420 nucleotides) under uncultured Microcoleus sp. Its description in RNAcentral is "bacterial SSU rRNA". It matches the Rfam family "Bacterial small subunit ribosomal RNA", at positions 356 to 790 of the family's 1533-position model. The record is from RNAcentral. Lineage: Bacteria; Bacillati; Cyanobacteriota; Cyanophyceae; Oscillatoriales; Microcoleaceae.